Molecule: ribosomal RNA, 253 nt
Filed under: uncultured bacterium
Lineage: Bacteria
Description: partial 16S ribosomal RNA
Rfam family: Bacterial small subunit ribosomal RNA
Source: RNAcentral
UACGUAGGGGGCAAGCGUUGUCCGGAUUUAUUGGGCGUAAAGAGCGUGUAGGCGGCCGUACAGGUCAGCUGUGAAAACUCGAGGCUCAACCUCGAGACGUCGGUUGAAACCGUACGGCUAGAGUCCGGAAGAGGAAAGUGGAAUUCCACGUGUAGCGGUGAAAUGCGUAGAGAUGUGGAGGAACACCAGUGGCGAAGGCGGCCAUCUGGGACAACACUGACGCUGAAGCACGAAAGCGUGGGGAGCAAACAGG